CAGGUUCUCAAUAAAUACCGCCCUCCCCACUCCCUUUUCGCUCUAAGCUAGCUCUGUUCAUCUUCUCGCCAUCGCUAGAUUCGCUACUUUUUCCAUUGUCAUUUUAUUUCGUGUAGUUUUUAUGAGUCUUUAUCAAUUAAUUUCUGCUUGAAAUUGAUUUAUUAAUGGCUCUUCCUAAAUCAAACCCUAAGAUUUCAGCGUCCAAGAAGACGAAGAGGGUCUCUGAUGCUAUGAAGCCUCAUAAAACUGCCAUGGCCAAGAGAGGCUCUACUCGGAACGAGAAGGGGAGCGAGCUCGCGAAACUUUGUGAUAUCGCCGUUUACAUGACUGCUGUUGGGGCUGACGGCAAGAUUGACUUGUGGCCGGAAAACCAACAAGAUUUGAAAUCAGUUGUGCUCAAGUACAAGAAUCUGAGGAGGGGUUUGAAAGAUCAAGUCGAAAAGGGUUCGUUCUCAGCGGAAAUUGUUGAGGAUCGAGAAAUUGGGGAUUUGGGUUUUCAAGAUAACUGCCUGGGGUCCAAGUUAGACGAUUUGAACGAGAGGAUUGUUGCUGUGAUGAGGAAGAUGAUGAAGAUGAGGGAUGAUGGUAGCUCCACUUUCAUGGAACUGUACAAGAAUAUCACGGAGAGUAGUGUGGAACCGGAUGCAGCAUAUCAACAACAACAACAAAAAUCAUCUCUUGAUUUGAAUCUUGAUCCUGUUGAUCUCAUCAUAUCCACACCCAAAGCCAAACCUAAUUCAAUUGGUCAAUUUCAGCAAGAAAAAGAUUAUCUUUCAUCAAUUCAUGAUCUUAGAGUACCGUAUAAUGGUUUCGAAUUCGAUCAUUAUUCCGUGGAUACUAAUGAUUAUCUCAGUUUGGUGUUGGGUGAUGCUCAUAAUGGUCUGCAACCUCAAAGUAGUAAUUAUACGGAGGGUUUGAAAAUUGAUGGGCAUGAUGUUGUUGCUGCUAUGCCAAGUAUGGAUGCUGCUGACGAUGAUGUCAAGUUGCUGUUGAGUGAUUAUGAUUUUGAUAUGAUGCAAGAUGAUGUGCAAUUUUGUGUCAAUGACUUGAUCGACAUGUUGCUACAAGACCCACAACAGCAGCCUCAUUCUGAGUUUAAAUGUACAAUCCUAGAUCUUAAUGUCUAGUUAGGCUUGAUCUGUAAAUUUGUUGUUUCCCUGUACCUAAAUCCAAAAUCUGAUGUAUAUUCUGGAUUAUUUUUGGCAUUUAAUAGAAUAAAGUAUUUUGUGUUUUUAUUUGUACAGCUCAAAAGUGAAGAGCUUUUGGUGUAGAUUCUUUUAUUCAAUCUACUUUCUCACCUUAAAUGACAAUGAAGA
Molecule: long non-coding RNA, 1316 nt
Filed under: Prunus dulcis (almond)
Lineage: Eukaryota; Viridiplantae; Streptophyta; Magnoliopsida; Rosales; Rosaceae
Description: sRNA ncRNA
Source: RNAcentral